AUGAAUCAGUCAGCCAUAUUUAAUGCUAUAAAUAAACAAAAAAGACGCAACUCAAUUAAAAAAAAAAAAAAAAAUAAAAAUAAAAUAUAUACUUAUGAAAAUAAAAAAUUAUUGCACAUGGCUUUAUUAGCUAGUAAAAAAAAUAUUGAAUGGAGUAAGUUAGAUUCAACUGCUAGUUCUGACAUGGUUACUCAUGGUGGUCAAAAUAAGGAUGGCGAUAUUAAUAGUGGUAAUGAUGCUAAUAACGAUGAUGGUACUGAUGGUCGGCCUAUUAACACUUAUUUUAGUAAGAUAAAACCAAAUACCGUUUUUAUAAAAAAUAAUCAAAAUGAUGAUGAUGAUGAUGAUGAUGAUGCGUGCUAUGGCAUUGCUAAUGGAGAAGAGAAAAAAGAAAAAAAAAAAAACAGUAUUAUUGAUACGCAUGUACUGAAAAACAGUAAACAUAAUACAAAUAAUAUAAAUAAUACAAAUAAUACAAAUAAUAUAAAUAAUACAAAUAAUACAAAUAAUAUAAAUAAUACAAAUAAUAUAAAUAAUACAAAUAAUACAAAUAAUAUAAAUAAUACAAAUAAUAUAAAUAAUAUAAAUAAUACAAAUAAUAUAAAUAAUAUAAAUAAUACAAAUAAUAUAAAUAAUAUAAAUAAUAAUAGUAGUAAUGGAAAUAAUAAUAAAGGUAAUAGUAAAAAAAGCGAACCUUAUUAUAAUGACACUGGCUGUAGCAAUAGUAUGAGCAACAGUAAUAAUAAAAAUGUCAGUUUCAUUUGGAAAUCAAAACAAGGUGACAAAAAUAAAACACGCACACACUCCGACGAACUCGAAACAGAAAAAAAUGAAUACAUUGUCAUUGAUACUGAAGAUAUGAAUAAUAAUAAUAAAAGUAAUAAUAAUAAAAGUAAUAAUUGUAAAACUAUGCCACAACAUAAUCAUAACCUGAUCCUACGAAAAAGCAUUAGUGAUAUCACAAACCAUUUAAAAAAAAAAAAUAAAAUAAACACAGUUUAUAAUAAUUAUGUCACUGCAAAUAAUAUAAUAAAAGAAAAUUUAAAUAAAGAAAAAAAUAUCGAACAUAUAUUUUAUGAUAUAAAAAAUUAUAUAAAAAUUACAAAAAAUAAUGAUAUACAAAUACCAAUCAAAUAUAUAUUAAAACAUAUUGGUAGGUAUAUAUAUGGUGUAGAUUACGAUGAUAGUAUUUUAUCUCUUUUAAAUUUUUUUAAACAUGCAAAUAAUCAUUUUGUUGUUGUAAGAAAAGUUGUAUAUACUGACAACGAAGACCCUGCAUAUUCUCACAUCGGAAUUAUAACAUUAGAAGAUGUUAUUGAAUUAUUAUUACAAGAAGAGAUUACAGAUGAAUUUGAUUUUGGAGCUAUAAAAAAAGAAAUCGACAUUCCAGCAAACUUUGAUUGGCAGAGUUCAGAUAUUUAUAAAGAUGAUUGUAUACAACAACAGUACGACUAUCAUUCAUAUAAUAAAAAAAGCGUAAAAUUGAAAGAUUUUAGUCAUAUAUCUUCAAUCCCUAUUGCGUGUGAUAUAUCAUGUGAUACAUCAUGUGAAUAUUCAAAUAAUUUACAAGAUGAGUACUGUAGACAAAACAAAAACGGAGAUAGAGAUACACAUUUUGACAAAACUGAAGUAGUAGAAGAUAAAAAAAAAAAAUUAGAUACCGUUGCAAAUAUAAUUGACCAAGAAUCGAAACAAAAACUAAUUAUACAAGACUAUACAAAUGAAACUAUUAAAUUUUUAAAAGAAUGUUUUUACUUUAAAAAUAUAGAUACAAAAUUAAUAAAAAAGUGCAUAAAAAAAAAAAAAAUUAGAAUUAUACAUAAAAAUCAGUAUCUACUAAAAGAAAAUACAUUUCUUAAAUAUGCUAUUAUUUUAAUAAAAGGAAAAGUAAGAAAUUUAAAAAGUAAUGUAUGUACGAAUGGGGACAAAUGUUUUAUCGGAUUAGAAGCAUUAGGACCAUGUAACAUUAUUGAAUUAUUUAAUAAUACUAUUGAAAAAAGAAUAAAUGUUAUUAAAAAUUAUGAAGAUUUAUUUUUUUAA
Molecule: long non-coding RNA, 2040 nt
Filed under: Piliocolobus tephrosceles (Ugandan red Colobus)
Lineage: Eukaryota; Metazoa; Chordata; Mammalia; Primates; Cercopithecidae
Description: lncRNA (ENSPTEG00000011732.1)
Source: RNAcentral